Molecule: ribosomal RNA, 497 nt
Filed under: uncultured bacterium
Lineage: Bacteria
Description: partial 16S ribosomal RNA
Rfam family: Bacterial small subunit ribosomal RNA
Source: RNAcentral
GACGAACGCUGGCGGCGUGCCUAAUACAUGCAAGUUGAGCGCUGAAGGUUGGUACUUGUACCAACUGGAUGAGCAGCGAACGGGUGAGUAACGCGUGGGGAAUCUGCCUUUGAGCGGGGGACAACAUUUGGAAACGAAUGCUAAUACCGCCUAAAAACUUUAAACACAUGUUUUAAGUUUGAAAGAUGCCAUUGCAUCACUCAAAGAUGAUCCCGCGUUGUAUUAGCUAGUUGGUGCGGUAAAGGCUCACCAAGGCGAUGAUACAUAGCCGACCUGAGAGGGUGAUCGGCCACAUUGGGACUGAGACACGGCCCAAACUCCUACGGGAGGCAGCAGUAGGGAAUCUUCGGCAAUGGACGAAAGUCUGACCGAGCAACGCCGCGGGAGUGAAGAAGGUUUUCGGAUCGUAAAACUCUGUUGGUAGAGAAGAACGUUGGUGAGAGUGGAAAGCUCAUCAAGUGACGGUAACUACACAGAAAGGGACGGCUAACUACGUG